RNAcentral lists this ribosomal RNA (253 nucleotides) under uncultured bacterium. RNAcentral describes it as "partial 16S ribosomal RNA". It matches the Rfam family "Bacterial small subunit ribosomal RNA", at positions 524 to 776 of the family's 1533-position model. The record is from RNAcentral.
UACAGAGGUGCCAAGCGUUAGGCGGAAUCACUGGGCUUAAAGCGUGUGUAGGCGGAUUUUUAAGUGUCUUGUGAAAUCCCACGGCUCAACCGUGGAACUGCUCGAUAUACUGGAAGUCUUGAGCCACUUAGGGGCGACCGGAACAAAUGGUGGAGCGGUGAAAUGCGUAGAUAUCAUUUGGAACGCCAAUGGUGAAAACAGGUCGCUGGGAGUGUGCUGACGCUGAGACACGAAAGCUAGGGGAGCAAACGGG